CCUACGGGAGGCAGCAGUGAGGAAUAUUGGUCAAUGGACGAGAGUCUGAACCAGCCAAGUAGCGUGAAGGAUGACUGCCCUAUGGGUUGUAAACUUCUUUUAUAAAGGAAUAAAACGAGGCACGUGUGCCUUUUUGCAUGUACUUUAUGAAUAAAGAUCGGCUAACUCCGUGCCAGCAGCCGCGGUAAUACGGAGGAUCCGAGCGUUAUCCGGAUUUAUUGGGUUUAAAGGGAGCGUAGAUGGGUUGUUAAGUCAGUUGUGAAAGUUUGCGGCUCAACCGUAAAAUUGCAAUUGAUACUGGCAGUCUAGAGUACAGUUGAGGUAGGCGGAAUUCGUGGUGUAGCGGUGAAAUGCUUAGAUAUCACGAAGAACCCCGAUUGCGAAGGCAGCUUACUAAACUGUGACUGACAUUGAUGCUCGAAAGUGUGGGUAUCAAACAGGAUUAGAUACCCUGGUAGUC
This 460-nucleotide ribosomal RNA is filed under the name uncultured bacterium. RNAcentral describes it as "partial 16S ribosomal RNA". It matches the Rfam family "Bacterial small subunit ribosomal RNA", at positions 338 to 795 of the family's 1533-position model. The record is from RNAcentral.